RNAcentral lists this ribosomal RNA (468 nucleotides) under uncultured bacterium. RNAcentral describes it as "bacterial SSU rRNA". It matches the Rfam family "Bacterial small subunit ribosomal RNA", at positions 329 to 795 of the family's 1533-position model. The record is from RNAcentral.
UGCCAGACUCCUACGGGAGGCAGCAGUGAGGAAUAUUGGUCAAUGGCCGAGAGGCUGAACCAGCCAAGCCGCGUGAGGGAGGAAGGUACAGAGUAUCGUAAACCUCUUUUGUCAGGGAACAAAGACUGGGACGCGUCCCCGGAUGAGUGUACCUGAAGAAAAAGCAUCGGCUAACUCCGUGCCAGCAGCCGCGGUAAUACGGAGGAUGCGAGCGUUAUCCGGAUCUAUUGGGUUUAAAGGGUGCGCAGGCGGUGUGUUAAGUCGGCGGCAAAAGCCCGAGGCCCACCCCCGGCCCGCCGUUGAAACUGGCAGUCUCGAGUUGGAGAGAAGUAUGCGGAAUGCGCGGUGUAGCGGUGAAAUGCAUAGAUAUCGCGCAGAACUCCGAUUGCGAAGGCAGCAUGCCGGCUCCACACUGACGCUGAGGCACGAAAGCGUGGGUAUCGAACAGGAUUAGAUACCCGAGUAUAA